This 497-nucleotide ribosomal RNA is filed under the name uncultured bacterium. RNAcentral describes it as "partial 16S ribosomal RNA". It matches the Rfam family "Bacterial small subunit ribosomal RNA", at positions 28 to 507 of the family's 1533-position model. The record is from RNAcentral.
GAUGAACGCUGGCGGCGUGCCUAAUACAUGCAAGUCGAGCGAACGGACGAGAAGCUUGCUUUUCUGAUGUUAGCGGCGGACGGGUGAGUAACACGUGGAUAACCUACCUAUAAGACUGGGAUAACUUCGGGAAACCGGAGCUAAUACCGGAUAAUAUUUUGAACCGCAUGGUUCAAAAGUGAAAGACGGUCUUGCUGUCACUUAUAGAUGGAUCCGCGCUGCAUUAGCUAGUUGGUAAGGUAACGGCUUACCAAGGCAACGAUGCAUAGCCGACCUGAGAGGGUGAUCGGCCACACUGGAACUGAGACACGGUCCAGACUCCUACGGGAGGCAGCAGUAGGGAAUCUUCCGCAAUGGGCGAAAGCCUGACGGAGCAACGCCGCGUGAGUGAUGAAGGUCUUCGGAUCGUAAAACUCUGUUAUUAGGGAAGAACAUAUGUGUAAGUAACUGUGCACAUCUUGACGGUACCUAAUCAGAAAGCCAGGGCUAGCUACGUG